GAGAAAGGAGGGACAAGUGAGGAGAGUGCGCAUGUGCAGCGCUGAGGUGCGCUCGCCUGGAACCGAAGAAGAAGGAGGAAGAGGAGGAGGAGGUGUUGUUGUGAGAGGGACACAGGAGAGCGGGACGACGAGAAUAACAGCGAGGUCCGACUAGAUUAAAGAACCAGGCCCAGGAGGACUGAAUAAGCCACAGCAGGGAGGAAGAGAAAGGAUGGAGAGAGCCCACAGAGACGCUCCGAGACACACCGGCGGAGGCAGAGCGACGGCGUGAAGGACAAAAGACGAGGGAUGUGGACGUGCCUCCACCUUGCCUCCUCCAUCUUAACAUUCCUGCCGUCGUCAUCCUGCUGGGAACCAGAUUUUGCAUCUUCAGAGCCCCUACCUUGCAUCUUGAGAGCAAAGAAACCGUCGAGACAGGACCUGAAAGAGGCUUGAGCUGAAGGACAUCAUCAAGGGGACCCAAUUUAAAGAUGUGGACCACAUCAAGAUCACCGUGACGACGGGGAUGUGGAGGAUCCUGGAAGAAGUUCUGGGAAAGCACGCAAGACUCCACAGGAUUACUUCAAAGGUAGAUGCACCAAAGCUAUUU
Molecule: long non-coding RNA, 589 nt
Organism: Syngnathoides biaculeatus (alligator pipefish)
Lineage: Eukaryota; Metazoa; Chordata; Actinopteri; Syngnathiformes; Syngnathidae
Exons: 3
Source: RefSeq, a predicted model, not a curated record